CAACGUGGGGAACCUGCCCCAUAGUCUGGGAUACCACUUGGAAACAGGUGCUAAUACCGGAUAAGAAAGCAGAUCGCAUGAUCAGCUUUUAAAAGGCGGCGUAAGCUGUCGCUAUGGGAUGGCCCCGCGGUGCAUUAGCUAGUUGGUAAGGUAAAGGCUUACCAAGGCGAUGAUGCAUAGCCGAGUUGAGAGACUGAUCGGCCACAUUGGGACUGAGACACGGCCCAAACUCCUACGGGAGGCAGCAGGU
This 250-nucleotide ribosomal RNA is filed under the name uncultured Lactobacillus sp. Its description in RNAcentral is "partial 16S ribosomal RNA". It matches the Rfam family "Bacterial small subunit ribosomal RNA", at positions 113 to 354 of the family's 1533-position model. The record is from RNAcentral. Lineage: Bacteria; Bacillati; Bacillota; Bacilli; Lactobacillales; Lactobacillaceae.